Long non-coding RNA from Galleria mellonella (greater wax moth), 2520 nucleotides. RefSeq lists it as uncharacterized. The record is from RefSeq and is a predicted model, not a curated record. NCBI's taxonomy places the organism in Eukaryota, Metazoa, Arthropoda, Insecta, Lepidoptera, Pyralidae. The transcript has 2 exons.
AGCAGCCGUUCCGCCCGCAUCAUUUGUGUUCUCAUGGCUUUUUAUAUUGUUGGGUUUGCUUAUUUUAUUAGUAAUUUUGUUUGCAAUUGUAAUUAAUACAGUAACACACACUAUGAGUUAUUUGUUUAAUAGGUAAUUAGUCCAAUGCAUCUAUAGAUCGUAUCAUGUCAAGGUCGUUGGUUUAUUGUUUGUCUUUAAACGAAGGUCGUGCCGUGCGCCUCGGUCAUUCCGGAAAAUACGAGGAAAUUCAUCCGUUUUCCAAGGCGUUAUUCAAAUACCACCCAGUAAAUUAUGUUAUAAGCGGCGCAACUAUCAAGACAUAGCAUACACCGGUUAUGGUAGUAAAUUUCAUAAUCAAGUCAUCAUGUUUUAUGUGCAAAAGAACGUUUUCAGCAUUUGGUUUCCAUUUCGUGGGAGGGAUUUCUUUAUUGUUCAAUGCCUGUCGUGCGCAGCGACUGUGGCUUUUGUUGGUUACCUAAUUUCACAGCAAGCGGCGAGCGGUACACGAUGUUGCAAAGUGAGAGGCCGUCACAACCGGUCCGUUCAGCUCAUUCGACCGAGAGAUAUACACAUACAAGCGAGAAACACAUCUUCGUCAUAGGCUCGGGUUGUUAGCUUGGAGCUAGACUGGUUAAGUACAUAUGCGUUGCGUACAUGAGACAGGUAGAAGCAAUAAGUUCCGUUUCAUUUCCGAGAAACCGUUUGAUUACUUGUGUAGUAAUGUAGGUAGAUGAAAUGACGGGACAAACCCGGACGCAAAACGCGAUCGUGCGCCCCAACCUCGAAUUAACGUGUUGUAUCUUAUUGACGCAACUUGCGGAGGUGGUACAGGUCGAGUGAUGCAAAUUGAACUUUAAAUACUAUGGACCGUGAACACAUUACAUUUAUUCUGAUAUUGGCAUGCGUCAGCGAACGGUCGACGAUAAUAAAUGGAUCGCUUUAAGGCGAAUACUAGCGGAAAAUACACGCAACCGGGUUGUGAUACUAUGUUAAUUGGUUACCAACUUGUUAUUUUAUACUCUAUAUACUUAAGAUAAUAAUUGUUGUUUACGGUUUAUCUUUCAACCUUGGGUACAAUAGUGUCGAGAAAUACAAGUCAGAACAAAAACAAGACAAAAGUAAAAAACACGAUGUUAAAAAAACCAAUCGCGGCGAUUUUUUGAUAAGAUAAAAUGUAGACUGCAAGUUAUUUGUAAGCAAGCAUAUAUCACUACGUUGCUACGUAAUAAUGAAAUGAUAUUAUUAAUAACAAUUAUAAAAGAGAAUCUAUUUUAUUUUCGGCUUAUGUAUUAAACAGCUUAUGUCACCGCUGAUAAAUUCAAAUUUAAAUUUAACGCAAAAUUCAUAAAUGGCCUAAUAAUAGCAAAAUAAAAUCUUAGAUGUAAUAUUGCUAUAUGUUGAUAUAAUCACAAAUAAAAAAUUUUGGUUUAUCACUAGUUAACGUGUCUAAUUAGAAUAUAAUCGUGUAAAGUUUAUACAUUGAACAUUCAUAUUGUUAGUCAAUAAGGAAUCAUGAGAACCGAUAGGCGUAUUUAUAAAUAUACAAACCAAUGUAAACGUUUAAUUCAGGUAGUAGUCGUGUUGAUAAACAAUGUUUCGUUUGAACAAGUUGUAUUUUAAUGACAUAAAAGAGGAAAUACUUGAAAAGUAACUCGUCUGAGAAGAAACGCAGCUGGUGAAUUUGGCAAUGCGUCUGCGGAAGAAAUUGUUCUAACACAAUUUACUAACGUGGCCGGGCGGGUCACCGCAAGGAUUCAAUCUGGUGCCAUUCUCCUUCGUGUCGGGCGCUCGCGACCUUCCGUCAGAGGAGGGGCGCCUCUCACCGGCGCGGCGUGACGGUAACUACGGCCUUACUUUGCGAGGCUGUAUUGAAACUUCUACGUAACGAAGCUCUUUCCAACAGUUACCCAAUGCCUGAUAGGAGUUCCGUCGAUACAUACAUACUUGGCACAACAUAAACACUAACAGAUCACGUGAACUACUUGCGUAACCAACAUUGCAGGCACACCUUUUGAUACAAACGUGAAAUACAUAGACAUUUCUCAUUAUUGAGACAUAUUAUAAUGGUGAAAUUGCAUAUAGUGUUACGAAAUCGAAGCGCUUCUUAAUACAUUAUCAAUAAAUGAUUCAUGCAGUGUACGAUAUCAAUAAACUUACACAAUAUGCCAAUUUAUAAACCAAUACAAGUUUUUCUAUAUAUUACAUUCUUUGUCCGUAUGGUGGCGGAGUAAGACAUAUAAUGUGUCACUCGAUAAUUCGAAAGGGACUAUGGGAGUACUGAGAGAAAAAGGAAAAUGUGAAAUAAAACUGUAUAUAGAGCCAUUUAGCCGGCGUGGUAACAGUGCGUUUAUCUUCCUCUUAUAAAGACGAUCGACCCAUGUCUAGCUGUGGAACGUUAAUGGUUUGUUAUGAUAAUGAUGAUGAUGAUUCUAUACAUACAUUAUUAUUAUUAUACAGUAAUUGUUAAAUGUGUUUGUUAUAUUGAUAAGAAUAAACAGAAUUGUAUAUCUCCUAAAAUAA